This is a long non-coding RNA of Mirounga angustirostris (Northern elephant seal), 11667 nucleotides long. RefSeq lists it as uncharacterized. Lineage: Eukaryota; Metazoa; Chordata; Mammalia; Carnivora; Phocidae. The record is from RefSeq and is a predicted model, not a curated record. The transcript has 3 exons.
UGCCGUCAUUUUGGUUAGGAGAGCCCGUGUGCCGGGGGAGGAAUCUUGUUUCUGAAGGUGCUGGGGAAAGAAUGAAGUGGGACAUAGGAAGUUUUAAAUCUCAGUUUCAGAACCCUGAGGAUGCCAAGAAUGGAUGAGAAAACCGACUUCAUGUGGAGCGGAUGGGCCAUCUCCUCGGAACUCUUCAGAUCUCGCUGCCUUUCUCUGGAGUGCGGUUUGGAGCUGGGGCUGUGGGUACUGAUGGGGCUUAUGUGGCUUCAGCUGCAGAAGGUAGGGAGUGGGUGACACAGAGCAGGAAAUACGUGGUGUAUUCUGGCCCAAAUAUUCUGAUUGAGUUAAGAGGCAGAGAAGAAAUCCAGCCAAUAGAACACAUUGAAUCUCAUAUGAUAUGCAGCAGGAUGUUGAAAUGGAGCUUUUAAAAAUGUCAGUUUCAGCAGAGGCCCCCAAAGCCAAAAAUAAAGACGCUAUUUCUGGUUAAGGUCACAUUCACGGGUAUCCGGAGGUAAGGCUUCAAUGUAACUUUUUGGGGUACACAAUUCAACCCACAAGAGGGGUCUCCAAGAGGACCUUUGGAGACCUCAGUAUGUGUCCCCUGGAGAGUCAGGGCACGUGAGUAAGGAUCUAGUUCUUUAUAAGAGAAGUGUAAAGGGGAGAGGACGUGGCUGUUGCUGCCAGUCGGGGAGCAGGGAGGAGGGCGCUGACUGAUUUGGCGGUUCCUAAGUCAAUGGCGGGGCCAACAUGUGGGUUUGUAGGAACGAGAAGUGGAAUGCACUCAAAGGAAGCUGGCCUGGGGUCUUCUUAAAAGGCUCCCUCCCCAGGUGGGUCCUGGAGAUGUGACCUCCAAGAGAGAUUGAUCCACCGAAAAGGGCUGGAAAGUGUAGCCAGGACUUCUCUGCCCAGACCCACACUGGGAAUAUUUCUACAUGUAACCGUCUAUACCUUCAUUAAGCUAAACAUGCAUCCUGACUGAUGUCUCCAAUUCUAAUAUAUCACCAUGUGGCUCAUUCUGACGUUCUUGCUCACCUAUAAAUUCCUUCUCCAUCAGUGCCUGCUCGACCUUCAGCUAGUCGUUACUUAAUUAUUUAAUUGCAGUAUACAGGAUAGCAGCAUUGCAGCUAUUGAGCUGUUCACCCAAGGGAAGUAAUUUUAUCAACUAGAGAAUGGUGCUUGUAUGCAGUUCCUCUCUACCUUUUAUUUCCCAGGCUCCAUCCACUUCCAAAGUUACUUAGCGCAGCACCUUUCCCCAACACCCCUCAGUGAGAUUGUGUCAUACAUUUGUCAUCCAGCGAGAUCCUUUGUCGUAGUCUACCUUCCUUCCUGGGAUUUUUUUGACUUCCUAAAUGAAUUUUUUGAAAUGUGCAUGCAUUAAGUCUCAGUCUUUGUGCUGUAAUGUGUUUUGGACUUUAACAAUUGCACAGUGUCAUAUAGCCACCAUGAUAGUAUCAUGCCGAAUAGUCUCACCAUCCUAAAAUCCCCUGUACUCCACCUUUUCGAACCCACCUCUCCGCCCGAACCCUCGGUAACCACUAAUCUUUGAAUUGUCUCUACAUAUUUGCCUUUUCCAGAAUGUCAUAUAAUGGGAAUCAUAUAGUAUGUAGCCUUUCCAGCCUGGUUUCUUUCACUUGGCCAUAUGCAUUUACAUUUCUUUUAUGUCAUUUUGUGGCUCGAUAGCUCAUUUCUUUUCACGGCUGAAUAAUAUUCUAUCAUACGGAUAUGCCGAAGUUUGUUUAUCCAUUCGUGUUUUGAAACACAUCUUGGUUGCAUAGAACUUCUAUAAACAUUCAUUUACAGGCUUUUGUCUGGACACACAUUUUCAAAUCAGUUAGGUGAGUAGCUAGGAGUGUGAUUGCUGGAUCCUGUCGUGAGACUAUGUUUAGCUUUGUCAGAAACUGUCAAAUUGUCUUCCAAAGUCACUGCUCCAUUUUGCCUGCCCACCAACAAUGAAUGGGAAUUGCUGUUGCUCCACAUCCUCACCAGCACUUGGCGUUGUCUGUGUAUUGGAUUUUGACCAAUUUUUCUUUUUUUUUUUUUUAGAGAGGGAGUGAGAGAGUGUGGAGGAGGGGCAGAGAAAGAGGGGAAGAGAGAAUCUUAAGCAGGCUCCAUGCCCAUCACGGAGCCUGACACGGGGCUCAAUCUCACGACCCUGAGAUCAUGACCUGAACACAAAUCAAGAGUCAGACGUUGAACCGAGUAAGCCACCCAGGUGCCCCAGAUUUUGACCAUUUUAUUAAAUGUGUAGUGAUAUCUCAUUAUGAUAUUGUUUUAAUUUUCAAUUCCCUAAUUACCAGCGAUAUUGAGCAUCUUUUCCUAUGCUAUCACCGCAUCAGGAAUGAAAAACAUCAGUGUAGACAGAACGAAUUACCUCUGGACUGAAUAGGUCAUUUUUUCUUUAACUAGAAUAUGCUCAUCUGGAAUGUUCCAUCUGUACGUCUACUUUAGUGAAGUGUCUGUUCAGAUCUUUUGCACGUUUUCCAAUUGGAUUGUUUGCUUUGUUGAGUUUAAAAUUUCUUUAUACAUUUUGGGUUCAAGUUCUUUAUCAGAUAAUGUGUUUUGCAAAUAUUUUCUCCCAGCCUGUGGCUGGUCUUCUCAUUCUUUGAACAGUGUCUUUCCUAGAGCAAAUGUUUUUAAAUUUCAACAAAAUCUAACUUAACUUAUUUUUAUUUCAUGGAUUGUGCUUUUGGUAUUGUAUCGGAAGAAUCUUUGCCAAAUCAAAGGUCACAUACAUUUUAUUCUGUAUUUUCUCCUAUAAGUUUUGUAGUUUUGCAUCUUACAUUUAGGUCUAGGACCUAUUUUGAGUUAAUUUUUGUGAAAAACUAAAUAAAUAAAUAUAUUUUAAGAAUUUAAUUGUAAAUAAUCACUUGUUACAUUUAUCCAUAUUUGUACUACAUGUGACUAAUCAGGGUUAAUCUGUGACCUUUUUCUCCAUUACUCAGGUCACUCAAGAGUUUACAGCAUGCAUGUGCUUUGUUACUAUCAGCGUGCACUCUAAAGCGGUUGCAUUUUCCUUCUUAUCUACUGCAAACUGUGUUCUUUCUCAUUACCUCAGCUGGGGUGGACGUUCUUUCAGCACAAUUGCACUUCUUAAAUUAAAAUCAAUUCCCUUAGUCAAUAUCUCAUUAGUUGGGAUCCUUUAGUGAUAACUCUAGAGUUAGAGAACUGUUGGGAAGGAUUUAUAUGCUUUGAAAUAGACAUGUUCAGGUCAUGAACAUGGAACGAAUGCAUUCAGGUCAGAAGUAAGUUCUUCUGUCUGCACUGAUAUUUUUCUCUCCUGAUAACAGGGUUCUCUGCCCAGCUCCCUUCUUAACCUGGGAAUCUGCAUCCACCUGGCUCUUGGCUGUAGGCUGACCCUGUCACAGGCUUUUGGACAGUCCUGUGUCUAAUGAGGAAGAUACAGAAGGUCAGAAGCCCAUGAGUUAUCUAGUUAUUCUUGCUGCUGGUUGUCUUGCAGUCUUGAGGUUGGAUUGUCCAUCUGAAUUCUGACAAUUUCCUGCAUGGUCACUGCUUAGAUACUAGAUGUUUUAGAUUCAACUUAGACCUUUGGCUAGAGUAGUCAUGUCUUCCCUUCUUAAUUCUUGGUGGCUUCAUCUUUUAGUUUCAAACCUGCAUAUGCCUUUGUGACUUCCAGAAGUAAUUAAAAUUAGACAGUGCUUAUGCCUAGAACCUCAGCCUUCAUCUUGUGUGGAUUCUGAUUCUAGUUCUCUCCUGUUCAGCCCAUCCAGCUCCAUCUGAACCUGAUGGGCCAUCUCUUUCCCUCCCUUCCUCUCUUUCUCUCCCCCCACCUCUCUCCAACCUCUGGUAGACCCUCCUCAACUCCCACCGUCCCCUGUGUGGGCACAGUCCAAGGUGUCACUUCUUCCCAGGGGCCACACGUGUCUUUUCUAUAUUCAUGCAAGAGCCCACACUGACUUGGCUCACACUGACUUGACACCAUCUCUCUCAACCCCUUCUCUGCCUUCCUCGCUCAGCUGGGGCUCCAUGUUCUCUGCCUGCCCUCCACACUCAACUCUAGCACAGUUUCCCAAGCCUGUCGGUCAUGCUCCAUCUGUCCUCCUGGUCUUUGCCCAGAGGUCUCUCCAACUCUCCAAACCAGGUAGUGUUUGCUCCUCAAGGACUGGGCGAGCAUCAGCUCUUUCUGGAAGUCACUGUGCAUCCCUUGCCCUCUCCGUCCUGUGCUUCACGGCUGCUUCUUGUUCAUCCACCUCCUUAUGUUACUUGAUUAACUGAACCAAUAUAUAAAUAAAUGAAUACAUUUGCUACUUUAUCAAUUUGCCAACUUAGAGGCCUAGGAGUUUUUGCUUUACUGAGUAUUCAAGGAUUAUGAAAUUCCCUUGUGGGCUAAAUCUCUCCGGCACACCAGGAAGCAGCGCAUGGAAAGAAAAGGAGACUGGGUGAAGAAUGGAGGUUAGUGAAGGCACAGGGAACGUGGGCACAGGACAAGGGAUGAGGGUCUGUGCCCUGUCCGGGGCUGCCUGGAGGAGGGAGGUGCCUGGGACUGGUGUGAGGAACCGGUCAUUUUAGUGCUGGUCACGAGUUGGUUCUAUCUUCCCUGGACAGGCGGAUUUCUCUGGUGACAGAGGGUAGACCCUACUGCAGUCACAGCUAAUGCAUGCAUUCUCAGUGGUGGGGGAUGGGAGGGGGAGGAUAUCACAAAUACUGUUCUUGGGAGGCAAAAAACCCCAUCUUAGAUAUUGCAGUGGUCUGUGGCCUUCCAAACAGCCUCAAUCCACAGUAUAUCAGUGUAUCUGUGGCAUUAAAAUUUUAUGCAAGGGGGUGAUUAGGACACAAAUGCCUAAUAUGGCUUCUGGGGAGGAGGAUAAGAAGGUUGGGAAAAAUGGGGCUGACAGACAGUUUUCAAGCCAAGGAAGAGACUCUGGCCAGCGUCCUGGAGAAUGGUGACGUUUCUGCACAGCCCAAAGCUGCCCAGCCGAGGGGUGAGUGGGGCUGAGUUCAGCCACUCUGUGGGGUGGCCCUGAGUCUUGUCCACCCACAGGGGGGCUCUCAUAUUUGCACCAGGCAAGCUGUAUACUCCUGGAGGCCCUCGAUCUGGCAGUCCUGCCUGCUCACGCUUGAGCCUGAGCUGGCAGUGUCCGGAGGUUCAGACUAAAAUAAGAACUGCAGGUGCUUCUGGGUGGCUCAGUCGUUGAGCGUCUGCCUUCGGCUCAGGUCAUGAUCCCAGGGUCCUGGGAUCGAGCCCCGCAUCGGGCUCCCUGCUCCGCGGGAAGCCUGCUUCUCCCUCUCCCACUCCCCCUGCUUGCGUUCCCUCUUUCGCUGUGUCUCUCUCUGUCAAAUAAAUAAAUAAAAUCUUAAAAAAAAAAAAAGAAUUGAAUUACUGGCAGGUCAGCUGAGUGGGGAUUUGACUGACAGAGAGCUCGGCGCCAUUGCUAGGGUGAAGCAGGAAUGCGGGUCAUUUUAAGGACAGGUGAGUCCUUCUACAGCCGGAGACAUGUUGGUUCUGCUCCCCAGGUGGAAAGUGCCCCGGAGCAAGGUGGGGGUGUGGGAGUGGAGCAACAGCCCUGGAAACGCCAGCCACCCCUGGGCUUCUGUGAUGUGGGGCUGCUCUAUCAGCUGAAAGUCAAGGCCAGCGCAUGAACCCUUCUAUUACUGGGAACCGGUGAUACUAUCCUAAAUCAAAACCCUUUGGUUUGCCUUUUAGAAUCCUCUCACCCUGCAAGUCCCAAAGGAAACCCAAACAGAGAAAAAGAACUGCAGAAAAAUGGGAAAAUUGCCAGCUUAUUUUUCCUCCUCCUUUCCUUUGACUCGGUUGGGCUGUGGUAAUGGAUACAUAGGUAACGAGUCUGUUUGUAUAUACACUUUUAUUGAUAGACUAUCAAUCAGUAAGUGUCAAACAGACCCUGAAAGACAAGGCAGUGCUGGGUUCACACGGAUAGUUGUCAUUCUGUGUCAUGAAUUACAGGAUGAUGCAAGCGUCGCCGCCCCCCCCUUGAAAUAGGGGGCUGUCUCGGGCUGGUUGGCUCCAGGGGCCAGGGCAGGGCACGGGUGAGGUCAGGGCUGUGGGCUCUGCUCCAUCCCACACCCACAUCAAGCCACGCCAAGGGCUAUCUGGUGACACGUGUGGGUAGGCUGGCACCAGCCCACCUCGCUGACUCGGGAACAUCUCCAACCCUCGGCUGCAAUGCGGGUGGGUCAGGGAGGUAAUUUUCACAUGAGACCGGCAUGCUCCAUACCACAGACUCAUAGAGCUUCUUUGCUGUUUUCUACAAAUGGAAAAGUUAGAUUGUUUAUUUUUCUGUGGGAAGGCUGUUUAGUUCUGCGGGUGAGGAUGAAGACUGUCUCCCCGAGACUCACCAGAUCAGACAUGCUGCCAAGUCUGUUGUUAACAUCUUUUUUUUUCUUUUAAGACUUAUUUAUUUAUUUGAGAGAGAGAGAAUGCGAGUGGGGUGGGGAAGGGCAGUGGGGGAGAAUCUUCAAGCAGACCUCCUGCUGAGCGUGGAUUUCCCCAUGCGGGGCUCGAUUCCCCGCCCCAUGAGAUCAUGACCUGAGUUGGACGCUCAACCGACUGAGCCCGUUGUGAACAUCUUGUGCUCAGUCUGACCAUCGUCUGAUGGGGCCGAGCCAGCAUGGUGGCCAGUGAGGAACUCGGAGUGAGCAGGCCCAGGCAGGCAGAGGGGCAGAGCGUGGCAGGAAGGGAGGAACACGUGGUGUCCAGCUUCCAAAGAGGUGAUGCGGCGGAGCAAGCUGCAGCCGUUGGAACAAUGACAAAGUGGGUUUGUGCUAUCCUCCUCUCCUGCGCGACCCCAUGCGGGCCCCCUCUCCUUCCUUAGCACGGUGGCACGAGAGGUUGCCUGUAAUUUGGAGCUUGGGCAGACAGUCUAGAUCUUUCAGGGAACACAGAUGGGGCAAACUUCCCGGACUGCCAUCACUGCCCCCUCCCCAAUAAAACUACUGGCUGUAAGAUAAAAACAUUUUCAAUUUUAUUAGAUAGUAUGUGCCAACUUGCUCUCCAAAGCUGUCCUUGCCUACUCUUGAUACUUUUACAUCUGAAUUUUUUGCUAGUCUUUUAUGGGUGAAAAGUGCUAUCUCUGCCUUGAUUUGGAGGGUUUUUUUUUUUAAGAUUUUAUUUACUUAUUUGAGAGAGUGAGAGAGAGCACAAAUAGGGGGAGCGGCAGGCAGAGGGAGAAGCAGACUCCCUGCUGAGCAGGGAGCCCGAUGUGAGGCUCGAUCGCAGGACCUUGGCAUCAUGACCUGAGCCGAAGGCAGACAUUAACCCGCUGAGCCACCCAGGCACCCCGAUUUAGACUUUUCUAAUUACCAGUGGAGUUGAGCUUUUUCUCCCAUUGAACUUUUUUCCAAUUAGUGUACUGGCUGUUUGCAUUCCUUCCUCUGAGAACUAUAUAGUCAUCACCUUUGCAUGUUAUUAUUGGGUGUUUGCUGUUUUCUUAUUGAUUUGUAAGUUGUAAAAAAGUAUAUAUUUGGAUACGAAUUCUUAGUUUGUUCUAUGUAGGGCAAAGACUUUCUCCAGUCCGUGACUUCUCUCUUAAUUCUGUUUAUGUCAUCUUUUGAAAAAUUGGAAGUUUUGCAUUUGACAGAGUCAAACAUUCUCCCUUAUCACUCAUGCUUUUGGUGUCACGGUUAAGAGAAACUUACUACACUGAAGUCACAAAUAUAGUCUUAUACUUUUUACUAAUAAUUUUAAGAUAUUUUUCUUCUUUCCCAUUUGGAUCUUUGAUCAAUCUGAUGCUGAUUUGGGGGGUAUGAGUCUAAUUUAACUUUUCUUUUUUUUAUUGAAGUAUAAUUAACAUAGAGUGUUAAUGUCAGGUGUACGGUCCAGUGAUCCAACCAUUCUUUGCAUGACUCAGUGCUCAUCACAAUAAGUGUACUGCUUUAACUUUUCAAUACGAAAAGUCAACUGCCCUAAUACUAUUUAUAGGAUGGCUCAUCAGUUCUCCACCGGUUGGUACUGCCAUCCUAUCAUAUCCCAAGUUACCACAUAUAUACAGGUCAAUUUCUGGGCUCUCUUUGUGAUUCAAUGAAUUUUUUUUUUAUCAAUUCUUUUGAUAAACUUUUAAAAACCAUUUUAUUGAGGUAUAAUUAAUAUACAAUAUGCUGAAUGUAUUUAGUUUUUAAUUUCAUGGGCUCUCUGUAUUUAUAUAUUCUAGUUUUUGUUCAUUGAUUUAAUAUUUAUUUAUUUUUAUUUUAGUAUAGUGAACACAAAAUGUGACAUUAGUUCCAGGUGUAUGACACAGUGAUUCAACAUGUUUAUACAUUACGUCAUGCUCACCACAAGUGUCGAUAGCUACCAUCUGUCCCCAUGCAUUGGUGUUACAAUAUCAUUAACUAUAUCCCCCAUGUUGUGUCUUCUAUUCCUGUGACUUUUUCAUUCCAUAACUGGGAGCCUGUAUCUUCCACUCCAAUUCACCCAUUUUGCCCCUCCCCUCACUCACCUCUCCUCUGGCGACCACUGGUUUGUUCUCCGUAUUUAUAGGUUUUAGCUUCUUGACCUGAAUAUUUAUCUCAUUAAUUUGUGCAUUUUUUUAAAAAUAUGCUUCCUGUUUUAGCUACAUCCAAUAAAUGUUGAUGGGUAGUUCUUUCGUUGUUCAUUCUAAGUACUUGGGAACUUUCAUGUGAGUUUUUCCUUUACCAAGAAUUUUUAAAGAUAUCUGCUCUCUAAUUCCAAGGAUAUUUUUAUUUUUUAAUUAAAAAAUGUAUUGCUUCCAAUUGUAUUGCAUUAUGAUCACAGAACCUGGUUUUCAUGGUACAAAUAUUUUGGAGUGUGUCGAGAAUUGCUUUGUUUUCAUAAAAUAUUAUAUAUUAUCUGUUUACUGGGAUGUAUAUCAAGCUGUUUGAUUGCAUUGCUUGAAUCAUUUGUGCUCUUAUUAUGCUUGAUGUAACAGUUUCUGAUGGCAAUAUGUUUAAAAAAAAACCUCAUUAUGAUUGUGGAUUUGUCAAUUUCUCUUUCUAAUUCUGGUAAUUUUUGGCAUAUAUAUUUGGAGGGAAUUUUUUAUUGUUAUGUUAAUCACCAUACAUUACAUCAUUAGUUUUUGAUGUAGUGUUCCAUGAUUCAUUGUUUGUGCAUAACACCCAGUGCUCCAUGCAGAACGUGUCCUCUUUAAUACCCAUCACCAGGCUAACCCAUCCUCCCACCCCCUCCCCUCUAGAACCCUCAGUUUGUUUUUCAGAUCCAUCGUCUCUCAUGGUUCGUCUCCCCUGAAGGGAAUUUUGUUAGGUGAAGCAAAUUAAUGAUUUUUAUAUCUUAUUCGUUAUUUUUCCCUUUAAUUAUUAAGUAAUGUCUGUAUCUUCAUUAAUAUAUUUUUCUUUAAUUUUAUUUGACUAAAUACUACUAAACUGGCUUUAUUUUCAACUUUUUAUUUUAUUUAUUUAUUUAUUUAUUUUUUAAUAUUAAGAAGGAUUUCUUUUUUUUUUUUAAAGAUUUUUAUUUUUAUUUUUAUUUAUUUGAGAGAGAGAGAAUGAGAGAGAGAGAACACCUGAGAGGGGAUAGGGUCAGAGGACGAAGCAGACUCCCUGCCGAGCAGGAAGCCCGAUGCGGGACUCGAUCCAGGGACUCCAGGAUCAUGACCUGAGCCGAAGGCAGUCGCUUAACCACCUGAGCCACCCAGGCGCCCCGAAUUUCAACUUUUUAAAAAGAUUUUAUUUAUUUGUCAGAGAAAGAGAGUGAGUGAGAGAGCACAAGCAGGGGGAGCAGCAGGCAGAGGGAGAAGCAGGCUCCCCGCUGAGUGAGGAGCCCAACGCAGGACUCAAUCCCAGAACCCUAGGAUCAUGACAAGAACCGAAGGCAGAUGCUCAACUGACUGAGUCACCAAGGUUCCUUCCUUGUUUUUCUUCUAAUGUCCAGGUUCCUGUGGGUUCAAAGCAGGAAGCAUGAGGGAGAGGGAUCUCCAGCAGAAACCCAAGCAUUAUUCUCAGAGAGAACUUUGGGGCUCACUGUCUAGCCAGAGGAAAGCCAUGGGGAACCCUUAUCGUGACAUGGUGUGAUAAGAAGGGUGAUGGAAGUGUGUACUGAGCACUGUGGAAAGGAAGACAUUAAUUUAUAGGGUGGAGAACGUGGAGAGGAAAUGGGGACAGCUUUGCAGAAGAGCAGACAUUUGCACUUGGCCUUGAAGGAUGACUGAAUUCUGAUACCCAAAAACUGACUUCUGGAUAAAAUGUGGUGGAUUGACCUGUGCGUCCUCUGGAAUCCCCAUUCAAACAACCAUAUAGUGAUUUAAAAUUUGUUUUUAAAUUAUAAAUGAUAAAUCGAGGGUAGAGAUAAACGGGAUCUAUUCUGGAGGCCAAAUAACAUCUGAAUGAAUGAGAAUUGACCAAACCGAGCAGGUACACCGGGAAGAGAAGGAGGCAGGGAGGGAGGAGGGGAGGAGGCUCCUGCUCUGGGCUGCAGCCCCCAGAACGGCUCAGUAUCUGGAGCUACAGGAAUCCCUGAAGAUGCAGGUGCAGCUGGGAUGGGAGGACAGGUGGAAGGUCUGCAGGAGAAGUGGUUAGGAUUCCUCCCCAUCCCAUCCCAUUAGGCAACUACUCCUCCUCUGCCCUAGCAAAAGGCCAUAUGGUUACUCCGUGAGGACAUCCCGACUACCCGUGCUCUGGACUCAGGGGCGCCAGGCACAGUUAAGGCUGGAGGCUACAAGGCCUGGGUCAGUUAAGGCAGUUAAGGCUGCUGGAUAGUGAGAUGCCCUAGCACCUUCCCCAGUCCUGUUCAGGAUGCUGGCAGCCACGCUCACAUACCCCAAGCAGAAUAUUAGAGUUCUCUUCUGGGGAAACUGAGCAGCCCAAGAGAAAAGGCCUUCUGAUACUAAUAACCGUGUGUGUCCAGUGAAAACUACAUCCCAACUUCCUUGCCAUGAAGCCCCUUGUCCACAAGUCCUGCCAUGCACACAGAAAUUUCAACCACUUUAUCUGAAAUUUACUCUUUAAAUAUGAAUGAGCAGAUGAAGAUCAUGAGACUUAGGGGAAAGUUUCCAACAUUAAAGACAGCUUCAUAACAAACAAAUGACAAAGACAAAUAGAAAAAGGAAUUUGGAGGAAAUAAAUACUUUGAGAAGCAGUAAAACCUGCCCCCUCCCCUCCUCCCCUGCCCCCAACAGAUAACUUUGAAAAGACUAGAGAAGACACAGGCAGAGGUUCUUGCAGAGGAUAUUCCUUUUCAAAUAAAAGGCAAAGUCUUACUAGGAAAGAUAUCUUUGUCCUUCCCUAUUCUUUUUCUCCUGGAAUGUGGACACAAUACCUGGAGGUAAGAACCGCCAUCUUGUGACGAUGUGGAUGGAUGCCAUAAGCAAGGAUGGUGGAAUAGAAAGGUGGAAAGAGCCUGGUUUCUGAAGACCCUGUUGAGACUCAUGCCUGCCUUAAAAUGUCUGUGUGGACUUCUUUUUAUAUGAAAUAAACUCCUUGCUUGGUUAAGUCACUCUAGAAAGGUUUUCUAUUACUUGCAAAUGAACAUAAUCUUAACCCAUUUAACAAAUGUUGUUAAAAAAUAUAGAAAAGACACAGUUAAAAGAGUUGAAAGUAGGGACACCUGGAUUAAGCAUCUGUCUUCGGCUCAGGUCAUGAUUCCAGGGUCCUGGGAUUGAGUCCUACAUCAGGCUCCUUGCUCAGCGGGGAGUCUGCUUCUCCCUCUGCCUGCCGCUCCCCCUGCUUGUGCUCUCUUUCUCUCUCUGACAAAUAAAUACAUUAAAAAAAAAAAUAAGGAGGGUGCCUGGG